This 253-nucleotide ribosomal RNA is filed under the name uncultured bacterium. RNAcentral's name for it is "partial 16S ribosomal RNA". It matches the Rfam family "Bacterial small subunit ribosomal RNA", at positions 524 to 776 of the family's 1533-position model. The record is from RNAcentral.
UACGAAGGGGGCUAGCGUUGCUCGGAAUUACUGGGCGUAAAGCGCACGUAGGCGGUUGGAUAAGCCCUCCGUGAAAUCUCCAGGCUUAACCUGGAAAGUGCAGAGGGGACUGUUCAGCUAGAGGAUGGGAGAGGAGCGCGGAAUUCCCGGUGUAGCGGUGAAAUGCGUAGAGAUCGGGAGGAAGGCCGGUGGCGAAGGCGGCGCUCUGGAACAUUUCUGACGCUGAGGCUCGAAAGCGUGGGGAGCAAACAGG